GUCGAGGGGCAGCAUGGCUGUAGCAAUACAGCUGAUGGCGACCGGCAAACGGGUGCGGAACACGUACAGAACCUUCCUCGGAGCGGGGGAUAGCCCAGAGAAAUUUGGAUUAAUACCCCAUAGUAUAACGAAGUGGCAUCGCUUUGUUAUUAAAGAUUUAUCACUUUGAGAUGGCUGUGCGUCUGAUUAGGUAGUUGGUGAGGUAACGGCUCACCAAGCCGACGAUCAGUAACUGGUGUGAGAGCACGACCAGUCACACGGGCACUGAGACACGGGCCCGACUCCUACGGGAGGCAGCAGUAAGGAAUAUUGGUCAAUGGACGCAAGUCUGAACCAGCCAUGCCGCGUGGAGGAUGAAGGUCCUCUGGAUUGUAAACUUCUUUUAUCUGGGACGAAAAAAGGGAAUUCUUUCUCGUCUGACGGUACCAGAUGAAUAAGCACCGGCUAACUCCGUGCCAGCAGCCGCGGUAAUACGGAGGGUGCAAGCGUUAUCCGGAUUCACUGGGUUUAAAGGGUGCGUAGGCGGGUGUGUAAGUCCGUGGUGAAAUCUCCGAGCUUAACUCGGAAACUGCCAUGGGUACUGCAUGUCUUGAAUGUUGUGGAGGUGAGCGGAAUAUGUCAUGUAGCGGUGAAAUGCUUAGAUAUGACAUAGAACACCAAUUGCGAAGGCAGCUCGCUACACAAAAAUUGACGCUGAGGCACGAAAGCGUGGGGAUCAAACAGGAUUAGAUACCCUGGGUAGUCCACGCCCUAAACGAUGAUUACUCGACAUAC
This 774-nucleotide ribosomal RNA is filed under the name uncultured soil bacterium. RNAcentral's name for it is "bacterial SSU rRNA". It matches the Rfam family "Bacterial small subunit ribosomal RNA", at positions 61 to 825 of the family's 1533-position model. The record is from RNAcentral.